GCCUACAGUAGCAACAAUUUGUCUUUCAACUCGACAACCAAAGUGAAAAAACUUGGAAGAAGCUUUACUUGCAGCUAAAAUAAUGAACAAGAUGGUGUAUCUCGGAUGUUUGGCUCUUGCCUCAUGUAUUGGUAUGGCUCUGGGUUAUGGAAGUGUUAUGACCGGGCACAAACAGUUCGCAGCAUACCCUAACAUGGGUUAUGGGUACGUUCCCUACAUGGCGGGAACUUCAGGAUUCGGAGGUUUUCUUGGCGGUGCUGGAGGAUCGACUGGUGGCAUGGGAGGAAUCUUUGGAAACAUAAUGCAGUUGUUUAUGUUUAUCUUGGUGAUCAACAUCUUGUUCUCGAGCACUGGUCUCGGCUCUGGUGGUCUCAAUAUUGGCAGGAAACCCUCACACCAUGCCUCUGACUACGGCUUCUACUGAAUAAAGAAAAAGACCGAUGAUAUUCAGUUCUUCAACCAGAACAAAUGUUGGCACCAAAGGCGAAUUCAUCUGUGAUCUGAAAUUGUGUUUCUUAAUUAAAAAAGAAAUAAAAAUAGCAAAACA
Molecule: long non-coding RNA, 547 nt
Organism: Mercenaria mercenaria
Lineage: Eukaryota; Metazoa; Mollusca; Bivalvia; Venerida; Veneridae
Exons: 4
Source: RefSeq, a predicted model, not a curated record